Molecule: long non-coding RNA, 1136 nt
Organism: Rhincodon typus (whale shark)
Lineage: Eukaryota; Metazoa; Chordata; Chondrichthyes; Orectolobiformes; Rhincodontidae
Exons: 4
Source: RefSeq, a predicted model, not a curated record
CAUCCUCACACUGAAGAACUGCAAUCAUUCACAAGUCAGCGGUUGGUUCAAAUAAAGGAAAACACUUUCCAGCUGUAUUUGUUAGGAGCCACAGUAAAAGCAAUGCUGAAAAUCAGGACAACAUUCCAGAGCCUGAACACUAGACCAGCCAAACACAAAGAAAUCUUGCCCAUGAGUUUAUGUAUUCACACUCUUCACAGAAAAGAUGAAAAUGUUGGGUUUGAAUCUGUCUGCCAGAUGGUUCUCAGAACAGGAAAAACUGGAAUCAUCAACAAUUGUAUGAAAAUACAAGUACGGGAGAUUGCAGGAGAAAGAUGUUCUUGAAAAGUUACUUUAGAAAGAGAAACAAAUAUGGAUCUACACAUAUUUCAGAUUCUCACAGAAUUACUUCUGAAUGAAGCCUACAGAACAACUUGGGAACUCAACAAAGAUUACCAGCUAUUGGGAUUUCUGGAAAGAUCGGAAUCCAUAAAAGCCCCUUCAAACCACAAUGACUCAAAAGAAACACUAUGUUCCGAAGUUGGAGAACCCAUUUGCUCUUCCAGCUCAUGACUACACAGUCCAAAUGUCAAUGUUUACUUUUCUCAUCCUUGCUUAGCCUCUACAAACCAUUCCUAAAUGCUGUUGGUUCAGAAGAAGACUAAGAGCACGGCAGUGCCCUUUGCUUUGAUAACAUCCUGUUGUUCUGAGCCAUAUGGGAAAUGAAGAAUUCUAAAGAGUUAAGUAUUGUGAAGAGCUGUUUACCAUUUAUAGGAUGCCUGUACUUUGUACCUAGGGGUCUACAGUUAUCUUUGCUAAUCACACACAUGCAAAGGUUACAAGUCUGACUCCUUUAUUAAUUGUAUUUUCCACACCCCCACCCCCAAGCAAAGCCUCAUUCACCUUUAAUACCAUAGCACAAACUAAUUUCAAACCAUCAAAUGUUGAGUGAAUUCUACAACUAGGUAAGUAAAAGCAUUUUAAAUCUUGUUGAGCUGAACUGGAGUUUAUCAGUUUUCCCUACACUAUAAUGUUAAAGUUUCUUUUCGUUACAUGAUCUGUGCUUGGAUCUAAAACCAUGCCCAAAAUGUUCUGUUUAGUUUUUGCUUCUGCAUGAAAAGGCAUUUGAACACAUAAAAUGUUCAAAUAAAAUCUCA